RNAcentral lists this ribosomal RNA (427 nucleotides) under uncultured bacterium. Its description in RNAcentral is "partial 16S ribosomal RNA". It matches the Rfam family "Bacterial small subunit ribosomal RNA", at positions 355 to 774 of the family's 1533-position model. The record is from RNAcentral.
UGGGGAAUAUUGCACAAUGGGCGCAAGCCUGAUGCAGCCAUGCCGCGUGUAUGAAGAAGGCCUUCGGGUUGUAAAGUACUUUCAGCGGGGAGGAAGGUGUUGUGGUUAAUAACCACAGCAAUUGACGUUACCCGCAGAAGAAGCACCGGCUAACUACGUGCCAGCAGCCGCGGUAAUACGGAGGGUGCAAGCGUUAAUCGGAAUUACUGGGCGUAAAGCGCACGCAGGCGGUCUGUCAAGUCGGAUGUGAAAUCCCCGGGCUCAACCUGGGAACUGCAUCCGAAACUGGCAGGCUUGAGUCUUGUAGAGGGGGGUAGAAUUCCAGGUGUAGCGGUGAAAUGCGUAGAGAUCUGGAGGAAUACCGGUGGCGAAGGCGGCCCCCUGGACAAAGACUGACGCUCAGGUGCGAAAGCGUGGGGAGCAAACA